Molecule: long non-coding RNA, 775 nt
Organism: Rhincodon typus (whale shark)
Lineage: Eukaryota; Metazoa; Chordata; Chondrichthyes; Orectolobiformes; Rhincodontidae
Exons: 2
Source: RefSeq, a predicted model, not a curated record
GUAGACCAGAACUGGACACAGUACUUCAGAAGAGGCCUCACCAACGUCCUGUACAACCUCUGCAUGAUGUCCCAACUUCUGUACACAACGGUCUGAGCAAUGAAGGAAUUCAAAAGGGAGAAUUUACAGACAGGCAGCUCAAGUCAAACACUGGAUGAAGAGCUGCCAAUAAAACUCAAUUCUCAGGAGCUUUGAACAUGGAAGAAAACAUCAUCAUUCACAGUGAAGAGAAACCAUACAAGUGGACUGUGUGGGAAAAACCUUCACCCAAUCUUCUGGACUUUCGAGACAUAAAUGCAGUCAGAACAGGGUGACAACGAUGACAUCAUGCUUUGUUUUGUAACAUCGUGGUCAUGGAUCUCAGUUUGAGUUAAGCAAGGGCCACUCAGUUCCUGAUCUCUUUACAUUCUUGCUGCAAACACGGACCAAACAGCUGAAUUCCAAAUAUGGGAAUGACUAUCUGCUAUCUUAAGGCUCCAUUCGACAGAGCAUUGUAUCAAGGAAUCAUAGCAAAACUAGGAUCAACAGGAAUCAGAAUAUUAUUCUCCCUUUAAAGGCAGGUAUUUGAAAAGAUUGCAUCUUCGGACCUGAGUAGAUCAAAACAAGGUGAAUUUAUUCAAACUUGUACCACAUACGUGCAGAAGAGGUAUCUAAGUCUAGUUUCAAGACAAUCCACCAUUUACAGCUCAAAACAGAAUAUUAAGACAUUUUCACGUUAGAGUGGUUGCAUGUAACAUUGGUACAAAAUAAAUUUAUAUGUCAGUUAUUUACUGCA